AUCCAGCUGACGAGUCCCAAAUAGGACUAAACGCGCGUCCUGUAU
Molecule: non-coding RNA, 45 nt
Organism: Schistosoma haematobium
Lineage: Eukaryota; Metazoa; Platyhelminthes; Trematoda; Strigeidida; Schistosomatidae
Source: Rfam